GACGAACGCUGGCGGCGUGCUUAACACAUGCAAGUCGAACGGAAAGGCCCUGCUUUUGUGGGGUGCUCGAGUGGCGAACGGGUGAGUAACACGUGAGUAACCUGCCCUGGACUUUGGGAUAACUUCGGGAAACUGGGUCUAAUACCGGAUAGGAGCUCCUGCUGCAUGGUGGGGGUGGGAAAUUUUCGGCGGUUGGGGAGGUACUCGCGGCUUAGCAGCUUGUUGGGGGGGUAGUGGCUUACCAAGGCUUUGACGGGUAGCCGGCCUGAGAGGGUGACCGGACACAUUGGGACUGAGAUAGGGCAGAGACUUACACGGGAGGGCGCAGUGGGGAAUAUUGCACAAUGGGCGGACGUCUGAUGCAGAAGCGCCGUGUGCGGGAUGACGGCCUUCGUGUUGUACACCGUUUUCGCCUGUCACGAAGUGUGAGUGACGGUAAUGGGUAAAGAAGCACCGGCUAACUACGUG
This 468-nucleotide ribosomal RNA is filed under the name uncultured bacterium. RNAcentral describes it as "partial 16S ribosomal RNA". It matches the Rfam family "Bacterial small subunit ribosomal RNA", at positions 28 to 507 of the family's 1533-position model. The record is from RNAcentral.